This is a long non-coding RNA of Perognathus longimembris pacificus (Pacific pocket mouse), 1232 nucleotides long. RefSeq lists it as uncharacterized. NCBI's taxonomy places the organism in Eukaryota, Metazoa, Chordata, Mammalia, Rodentia, Heteromyidae. The record is from RefSeq and is a predicted model, not a curated record. The transcript has 2 exons.
ACACACAUCAAGCAAACCUACAAGUGUGCAAGAAUACAUCGCAUUUGGAGAGGGGGUUGCAGUUUUUGUCUUUCAGCAUCUCCCAAUUGAUAGAACCUUUGGGGAAACUAUUGCAUUUGUCUUCUCUCCCACUUCAGUUCUGGAGAAAACAAAAGGAGACAGGGCAAAGAACAGUCAUGAAUCUAGUUGACAGGUCCUAGAAGAAUCUCAUUUAAUCCUAGCUUUGUAAAGUUUUGCUUCAUUCCAUGGCAACAUGGGUAUACACAGCACACUGGAAGUUCCAGUGGCUUGCAGCAGGUACGGUUUCUGCCAAAUGCUUCUAGCAGGAGGAAAUGAGAAGACAAGACCCAGAAUUCACAUGCAGGCCUUCUUGUUGUGCCUUGGGAUCUCUCUAAAGCUAGCACCUUAUGUGGAGCAAAUACUGUUCAGGCAGGUCCCAGCACUAUUAGAAAGCAAGAAGGAAUUCGGAGGAACAUCCAAAAGCAGGAAGAACUUCUGAGUGGGUGAAGAAUAGGCACAUCAUUCCUAUUCCAUUACAUAUGUGAUGAAAUAGAAAAACUCAACAAAGAUCUAAAUGCAUGGCUUAUUUCUAAAACUGACUCUAUAUUUCUAUGUAUGGCCUUUAUAAACAAAAGAAGAGAAGCAAUCAUUUUGAAUAUUUACUUGCUUUGUGUUAUUUAUAAUUCUGUUUUUCCUGUUCAUUUUAAAUUCAGAUAUUCAAAAUAUUAUUGAAAAGUUCUCUUCUGGUUCUAGGCAGAUAGCUUGAGUAUGCUAAAGUGAGGGACUUGUGGUGCCAGAGAGGAUUCUGGUUCAUUGUUUCUGCCAAUUAAACAAUUAAAGGGUAGCAAAGUGUUUAAAGAAGAUAGAGCAGGAUUUUGAAAGUAAAAGAAACAAAUGAAGCAGUAAGAGGAGCUUCUUAUAUAGAGGGAGCCAGGAGCCAGGAGUGUCUCUAAGUCUCUCUCUUGAGGGCUAUUAUAUAGAAGGUCCCAUUCCUCCUCCCUUUUAGGGUGUGACACUGCUCUGAUUGGUCAAGGAGUGUACUGUAGGGAGUCUUAUGAUUGAUUCUCCCAUACUGCACAUGUUGUCUUGUGAGCCACUCCCCCAUUGUUGUAGCUGGUGUAAGAUACCAUCUUUUACCUUGCCAGGGAGGCCUAACUUCACCUUUCCCAGUGUUUUGGGCAAAGCCAUCUACUCUAUUCAGUCUCAUCAUCUCCUUAAUAAAGAUUGUGAAU